GAUGAACGCUGGCGGCGUGCCUAACACAUGCAAGUCGAACGGAUGUAGCAAUACAUCAGUGGCGGACGGGUGAGUAUCACGUGGGUAAUCUGCCUACUAGUGGGGGAUAACCAACCGAAAGGUUGGCUAAUACCGCAUACGCUCCAGAGGGGAAGUUCCUCGGGAGGAAAGAUGUUUCGCUAGUAGAUGAGCCCGCGGCUGAUUAGCUAGUUGGUGGGGUAAUGGCCUACCAAGGCGACGAUCAGUAGCCGGUCUGAGAGGGUGACCGGCCACACUGGAACUGAGACACGGUCCAGACUCCUACGGGAGGCAGCAUG
This 317-nucleotide ribosomal RNA is filed under the name uncultured bacterium. Its description in RNAcentral is "bacterial SSU rRNA". It matches the Rfam family "Bacterial small subunit ribosomal RNA", at positions 28 to 355 of the family's 1533-position model. The record is from RNAcentral.